RNAcentral lists this long non-coding RNA (3350 nucleotides) under Homo sapiens (human). Its description in RNAcentral is "HSALNT0169989". Lineage: Eukaryota; Metazoa; Chordata; Mammalia; Primates; Hominidae. The record is from RNAcentral.
AUUCAGAUGCUGCCUGACCACUUGGACUCACAGUGCAGCCUAGGACUUCACUGACUGUUAUAAACUGAUAGCAUCCCCCUUCCAAAGAAGACCUUCCUAGUCCUGUAAGCACUGAUCCUAAGCUGCUUUUCCAAUGCUACUUUGCCAUUGGGUGAAGCAAAAUGUCAGAUAAGCUUACUAGCAAAUGUGCCUCUGAGCACAGCCCACUUCUGCAUCCCCAAGACGGCAUCCUUUGUGCUCUGCUGAUGGUGGAGCCAGAAGCCAUGUGAAGUUUGGCCAGAGCCUCUCAGCAGGAGCACCUUGGAGAUUUGCCUUGGCAGGAGGGCUCCUUACCAUGGCUAACACGAGGACAGCCCUGUCCUGAAGAAAAGGCAAUGCCAGUCACCUGCACCUGGCUCGUUGAAAGCGCGUCCCUCUGUGAGCACGGGCGCUGCACGAGCUUCAUGUCUACCUCUCUGUCCAGGAGCCACCCGUUGUUCUUCAGCUUCAGGUCACUGGACCUAAUAUUGAUCAACUAAGAAGAUUCAUAAAGUGAAGAGCAAGGCUGCAUGCCACCAAGAAGCUGUGCGGCAUCCGAAAGGCGUGCCGCCACCAUUGUGUGGCAUAGUGCCUGACUGGAGCUUGCUGCAAGGAUGAGUCCUGAGUACUCACUGUGUCAUGAGAAACCUGGAGGCCUUAUUUGUUCACAGCAUGACUUUGAUGGACAGCACCCCUGCUUCCUGAGCAUCUUAACUUCCAAUAAAAUGGUCUUGAAAGGGAAACUGGGAGCUAGAUCAUCAGGAAAUUGAAAGAGCUUGGAAAGAAGAUUUCUUUUCCAUAAAGCAAUCACUUUCUCAUACUAGCUGUGUCCCAAGGUUCAAUCACUUACUAUUUAUGUGGGUAUGAAAUAACACUGAUGAAGUAGCCUUUUUAAUCUGUCAUGAAUCAUUUGACAAAGACUUCCUAUUCAACUUGCAUUGUCUGGACCACACAAUGUUGUUGCUGAAAUGAGCAGGUGCCAUUGCUGCUACAAAGAACAAUGACAAACUGCGGACUUGGGGCCAACACCAGACUGCGUGAGAGGUGGUGACCUUUGUACGUUUUUUUUUAUUCACAGAGAAUCAGCAACCCUCCUUUCCUGAGUGAGUACCUGGCAGUCAUCAAGAUCCUCAGAAAAGGAGAAGAAAAUGGAGAAACUUAGGAGAAGAAAGUAAAAGGUGACAGACAAGGAAAAUCGAGCUGUGAAAUGCCACAUUCAUCUGUCCUGGGUCAGGUCGUUGGUUUAUCUUUCUCCUCCCUGCUUCCUUCCACCCUCCCUCCCUCCUUCUGUCCCUCCCUCCCUCUCUCCCUGCUCCCUCCAGGCCACAGUCAUGACACGAUUAUAGCACUGCGAUGGUACCAGGUAGACAGACACUAAAGAUCAAUUUUCUCACUGAUACCGAUCUCCAAAUUUUAGGCAUAUGCCCCAAAUAUCCCCAUCUUUCAUUUAGCAGUGGGGACUUUCAGGACACAUAAAUUAGCUCAGCUUUUCACAAACGUUUUCAUAAUGAGCAAAGCAUCAAAGCCAAGCUUCUGCCAGAAUCAGAGAGAGAGAGCAAAUGAGCUUAACCCCCUAUUCCACAGCUUACUAGCUAUGUGCCCUUGGGCGAUUUCCUUUGUCUCUCUCAGUUUGCCUCAUCCGCAAAUGGGAAUCUUAACACUCUAUUACUUCUCUUCCAAAAUGACUUAGAUCAAUGGCAGGUUUUUAAAUUGAUGUGCAUAUGGAAUGUGUGGUAUUUGUUUUUGCCAGAUGAUAUUAUCAAUUAUAAGACCGAUCCCAAUUUCAGAAAUAUUAAAAUGUACCACAUGUCUAAAAAAUAGAGGAACUACGUAGCAUCUUCCUGGGCUUAAAUGAACCAAGGGCUGCAAAGCGAUUUGCACUGAGCUUGGCAUGUAGCAAGGGCUCCGUGAGUGAGGGCCGCUCUUACUAUUAUUCUCAGGAUAAUUAGGAAGGAUGUAAUUAUGACAUUACAAAAGUUAGGCCAUAUCUGUUAGGAAUUUACACAGUGAGCUUUGAAGCCAUGGAAACUCCUAAAUGAAACUUCCUGUGUUACCUGUUUCUGAGGACACUGCAAAAUGUCACCAAAGCCAGAACUAAGCUUUCGAAGGAAAUUGUUGAAUUUCAAAAUUUGUUUUUAUUCAUAGAUUAAUGCUCCACAUGCUGGGUUGCUGUAGUAGCACAUCAGUGGUAACAACUCUUAAAAUAUAUUUGCUUCCAUUUAAUUAAAGUCGGCCGUGAGGAAUGUAUUCACAAGUGUUGGCCAAGUGUGUGAUUCUUCUGGGGAGUCCUUCAGUCAUUGGCUUAAGUAAGAAGGGGUCUGUGCCACAGAAUCUUCUGGGGCCAGGCCAUCACUGAAAACACGUUUUCCACGACCCAGCCUCUGCAUUCUCUGCUGGCAAGCCCACAGACGCCGAAGACAGGGCUCAGAAACACAACGCAGCUGCCAAAUGGCUUCCCUUCCUCACUGCUUUAUGUUCCCGGGGCCAAAUGGGCCUCAGAACAGACCUGAAAAUCUGUGAGAUGGAAACCGGGAACUGAGCGGUCCCGUGCAGAAAAGAGGCUCCGAGUGUUUACACAACAUCCCCAGGACGUACUGCACUUUCCAGGGCGAGUGUCUUUCCAAAACGCCUGCAGACCCAGCCUGCGUCAGGCACAGCUCCAACUUUCCUGCAAAAAUCGCCUUGCAGGGCCCUUCAUCCUCCUCUCAGUUCAGAAAUGGGGCUGGAGAGUUUCACACACGCAGCCCAGAUAGGCACACGUGUGGGAUCUUGCUGUGUUGCAAUCUCAUGGGGGUAAAACGGCUGCUGAAAUUGGGUAGUCACGGACUUUGGAUUUUUAGAGAAUACCCAAUUCUAAUCCUAAUGGGAAUGAGGAUGACGAUGAUGAUGAUUCUGUGAAGUAGCGAGCUCCAUUUCCCUCACGGUUCAGACCGAAAACCAUCUUUCUUUCCAGAUACUGCAGUGGAACCCUAGGAAAUCAUGGUGUUUUGUGAAAAGCUCCUCAGUCUGUGGGAUGAACCUGGAGCUCCGACAAGGAUAGCUCCAGGCUUCUUUUCAAAUCCUCUGGAGAGGGAAUGUGUGCGAGAGGAAGUCGGGGGGAAGAGCAGAGACAGAAAGAUGUAAAUCACCGUCACUUCAUAAAACGGAGUUUUCUUGUAAUAUGCUUUGGUAAUGUUGAGCUGAAAAUAGAUUGACAAUCAAAAUGGGCUUAAUCUGAUAUUAAAGAAUUCUCUUAAAAUCCCCCAAACAAUUGAGAUUUUUUUUUCCCUUUGGUUUGUUUUGCGUUAGCUCUUCCAAGAGGCUGUGGAUGUAAAGAAAUAUAUUGACAUUAA